UACAGAGGGUGCGAGCGUUAAUCGGAAUUACUGGGCGUAAAGCGCACGUAGGUGGCUUUGCAAGUCGAUUGUGAAAUCCCUGGGCUUAACCUAGGAACUGCAUUUGUGACUGCAUGGCUAGAGUGUGGUAGAGGGAGAUGGAAUUCCGCAUGUAGCAGUGAAAUGCGUAGAUAUGCGGAGGAACACCAAUGGCGAAGGCAAUCUCCUGGACCUGCACUGACGCUCAUGCACGAAAGCGUGGGGAGCAAACAGG
Molecule: ribosomal RNA, 253 nt
Filed under: uncultured bacterium
Lineage: Bacteria
Description: partial 16S ribosomal RNA
Rfam family: Bacterial small subunit ribosomal RNA
Source: RNAcentral